GAGAGUUAAACAGUACGUGAAAUUGUUGAAAGGGAAACGAUUGAAGCCAGUCGUACCUUCGGGUAAUCAGCCUUUCGGGUGCGAUUCUGUGGGGUUUGAGGAGCUUAACACCUUCAUGCUUUGCAUAUUCGUGCUCUUGGGUGUACUUGCCCGUGUGGUUGGUUAACAUCAAUUUUGGUGGUCAUAAAAUGACUGGAGGAAUGUAGCUUCGAUCUUGUAUUGAAGUGUUAUAGCCUUCGGUAGAUGUGAUGAUCGAGAUUGAGGAUUGCAACGGAUACCCUUCGGGGCUACCUGUCUGGUCUCUGAUCGUUGCUCUGGUGCCGAAAGCUUGCUUACGGUUAUCAAAGUCGAUGGUCAAUAGGUUAGAACGGGUUAAAUUCGUUAAGGAUGUUGACGUAAUGGCUUUAAACGA
RNAcentral lists this ribosomal RNA (412 nucleotides) under uncultured Rhizophagus. RNAcentral describes it as "partial 28S ribosomal RNA". Lineage: Eukaryota; Fungi; Glomeromycota; Glomeromycetes; Glomerales; Glomeraceae. The record is from RNAcentral.